Molecule: small nucleolar RNA, 88 nt
Organism: Lycium barbarum (goji berry)
Lineage: Eukaryota; Viridiplantae; Streptophyta; Magnoliopsida; Solanales; Solanaceae
Product: small nucleolar RNA R64/Z200 family
Exons: 1
Source: RefSeq, a predicted model, not a curated record
CUUCUGCUAUGACGAAUUCAUGAAAUAUUCACAUGUCAGAUUUCAGAGAGAAAUAUAUGAGAAGAAAGUCAUGUAUCCCGAGCAGAAG